UACGUAGGUGACAAGCGUUAUCCGGAAUUACUGGGCGUAAAGCGCACGCAGGCGGCGCGAUAAGUCUGACGUGAAAUCUCCCGGCUUAACUGGGAGGGGUCGUUGGAAACUGUUGUGCUUGAGGCGGUGAGAGGGGUGUAGAAUUCCCGGUGUAGUGGUGGAAUGCGUAGAUAUCGGGAGGAAUACCAGUGGCGAAAGCGACACCCUGGCACUGUGCCUGACGCUCAUGUGCGAAGGCGUGGGGAGCGAACGGG
This 254-nucleotide ribosomal RNA is filed under the name uncultured bacterium. Its description in RNAcentral is "partial 16S ribosomal RNA". It matches the Rfam family "Bacterial small subunit ribosomal RNA", at positions 524 to 776 of the family's 1533-position model. The record is from RNAcentral.